This 484-nucleotide ribosomal RNA is filed under the name uncultured bacterium. RNAcentral describes it as "bacterial SSU rRNA". It matches the Rfam family "Bacterial small subunit ribosomal RNA", at positions 8 to 518 of the family's 1533-position model. The record is from RNAcentral.
AGAGUUUGAUCCUGGCUUAGGAUGAACGCUGGCGGCGUGCCUAACACAUGCAAGUCGAGCGAUUCUCUUCGGAGAAGAGCGGCGGACGGGUGAGUAACGCGUGGGUAACCUGCCCUGUACACACGGAUAACAUACCGAAAGGUAUGCUAAUACGGGAUAAUAUGUUUUGAUCGCAUGGUCGAAAUAUCAAAGCUCCGGCGGUACAGGAUGGACCCGCGUCUGAUUAGCUAGUUGGUGAGGUAAUGGCUCACCAAGGCGACGAUCAGUAGCCGACCUGAGAGGGUGAUCGGCCACAUUGGAACUGAGACACGGUCCAAACUCCUACGGGAGGCAGCAGUGGGGAAUAUUGCACAAUGGGCGAAAGCCUGAUGCAAGCAACGCCGCGUGAGCGAUGAAGGCCUUCGGGUCGUAAAGCUCUGUCCUCAAGGAAGAUAAUGACGGUACUUGAGGAGGAAGCCCCGGCUAACUACGUGCCAGCAGCCGC